RNAcentral lists this non-coding RNA (240 nucleotides) under Oscillibacter sp. The record is from RNAcentral. Lineage: Bacteria; Bacillati; Bacillota; Clostridia; Eubacteriales; Oscillospiraceae.
UUGAAUCCGAUGAUGCUGCACGGCGGUCAUCCGAGCCGGAAACGGCCAGGUGAUUGCCUAAAAGGAAAGGGGUGUAAUGCCCCAUGCGGUCGGCACUGUAAGCGCAAGGAUAUGAUCGAGGCGGGAAACCGCUGGGGCGAAAGCCCGUCAUUGCGAGAAAUCGUGAGAAGGUAGAUCAUAGACGCAGAGGAAAAUCCUCGUGGCGCAAGUCAGUAGAAUUGUGUAGUUUAGGAUUCCGGG